RNAcentral lists this ribosomal RNA (236 nucleotides) under uncultured bacterium. Its description in RNAcentral is "partial 16S ribosomal RNA". It matches the Rfam family "Bacterial small subunit ribosomal RNA", at positions 524 to 758 of the family's 1533-position model. The record is from RNAcentral.
UACGUAGGUGGCAAGCGUUGUCCGGAAUUAUUGGGCGUAAAGAGCUCGUAGGCGGUCUGUCGCGUCGGUCGUGAAAACUUGGGGCUUAACCCUGAGCUUGCGGUCGAUACGGGCAUGACUGGAGUUCGGCAGGGGAGACUGGAAUUCCUGGUGUAGCGGUGAAAUGCGCAGAUAUCAGGAGGAACACCGGUGGCGAAGGCGGGUCUCUGGGCCGAUACUGACACUGAGGAGCGAAA